This 926-nucleotide long non-coding RNA is filed under the name Glycine max (soybean). Its description in RNAcentral is "long non-coding RNA (GMAX_LNC002293)". Lineage: Eukaryota; Viridiplantae; Streptophyta; Magnoliopsida; Fabales; Fabaceae. The record is from RNAcentral.
UGCAUAAUAAUAAACCCAAAUAAGUUUUCUUCACUUAAAAAAUUAUAAAAGAAAGAAAGUGUAGGGAAUGUAUGUGAUUGUGACACAUAAGGGACUAGAGGAGUAAACGGAACAAUAAGAAUGUGAGACAUAGAGACAGAACAAUAAAAGACGUACGUGAGACACAUAAACAUAGCAAUAAGGGACUUGAUACACAGAGGCAUAGUAAUUGUCUUCAAUUUACAGAAUCAUUGGGUCUCGCAUGGAUUCAUGGACAUGCACAGUCAAGGCAUUUCUGAAUGGAUUUUUGGUAAAGCUAAACAACAGCAAUAAAAAAAAAUCUCAUUGUUUUACUUAAUGAUCGAAUCAAUGACUUAAUUUCUGUCUUUCUCCAACAACCUUUGCACUCUGCCGUAAGCAUCUCUUCCCCAUUCCAUUUCAUUGCUAUUCGUCUUGCUUAGUUUUUAUUUUUGUUUUUUUAUCUAAAGGUGGGAAAGCCAUUAUACAUUAAUUAGCAUCUUACGAGGGGUUACUAUGUGCCAAAUAUUCUUGUACCAUUCUCUUCGAAGCUUAUAAUGUGAGCGCUUUCACAUUAUCAUUGGCUUCUUUCAUUGCUAUGACAGUAGCAACAAUUUCUUUGCAUGUAUUAUUGGUAGCCAAGGACACCCUCAACUAAAAUUUAGAAGAAAAAAGAAUAAUAAUACAAGUGAUUAACCAAAGGCAUUACUUAAUUAAUUAGGGUAAAUAUAUUUACCCGUGUAAUUAAGAAAUCACUAUCUGACAUGGAUGCAUGAGGCAAGCCACUACAGUACCAAUGGUGACUAUAUAUCUUACGUUACAUGUACAGAACCACGUGUAAAGACUCCCUGCCUGAGUGUACCCAAAUGCAAGCAUGAAUUUUGGGGGGGGGGGGGGGAUUAUCUAUCUAUCUAUAUAUAGCUAGAAGA